RNAcentral lists this ribosomal RNA (396 nucleotides) under Aphelenchoides besseyi. Its description in RNAcentral is "partial 28S ribosomal RNA". Lineage: Eukaryota; Metazoa; Nematoda; Chromadorea; Rhabditida; Aphelenchoididae. The record is from RNAcentral.
GCGUAUUCAUCCCGCGACACUGCAAUCGCUUCGACGACAUUCCGCAAGGUUGCCUAGGAGUGUUGUUGUUGUGCUCGUUGGAUGCAUUUGCGUGCGGAGUGCGCCGAGUGGGUCGAUGUCGCUGCCGGAAGGGCGUAUAGAGGACUCGGGUUUUCGGACUCGAGAAUCCUGUGCGUUCGGAUAGCAGGUGAUGUUGGCUCGCUGUUGUGGAGUGCGGGUGAAUUCGCGAUGGGCGUCGGUGUGAGUUGUGGUUGCGGAUGGCACAUGUGUCUUCCGUUUCCGCGGCCUACGAUCGGCGUUCGUUGCCCCGGCACUCGACUCGGUGUAUAGUCGGUCACCCAUUCGACCCGUCUUGAAACACGGACCAAGGAGUUUAAGGUGUACGCGAGUCAUUGA